Molecule: long non-coding RNA, 386 nt
Organism: Gossypium arboreum
Lineage: Eukaryota; Viridiplantae; Streptophyta; Magnoliopsida; Malvales; Malvaceae
Exons: 2
Source: RefSeq, a predicted model, not a curated record
AGGCAAUUAAUGAUAAAAAUAAUCAAAAAGGUAAAGCUAUCAUCUCUCAUUCUCUUCUCCAACAAAAAAUUACAGCAAAGAAACACCAUUUUCGGAGCUUCAACACUCGGCCAUAUCUCCCUUGCAUGUAGAUAUCGGAAGCUCGUUCGGGUUGGAAGAUGGUGGAGAUUUUAUCACACUAUCUAUCGGCUAUUUUGGUAUUGUGGUUUUAUAAUUUCGGUUAUAAUGGCAUGUAUAGGUCGUUUUGGCUAAUGAUAGCCUACAUGUUUUGUUAUGUUUUUUGUCAUUUGAUUUGGCUUGUAUCUGAGAUAUUAUUAUGCAUGUUAUUUGUGUAAAUGGCUUUAUUAUAUUCAGUCGCGGUUGUGAAGUGGUGUUUCGAUAUCAAA